AAGACUAUAUUUUCAGCCAUUAUUUGUAUAGUGUGUUAUUAGAGGAGUAUAUCUGAACGUGUAGAACGCUGGUGAGCCACGAGAAGGAGAUGUUUGUGUUUUCUCAUGGGUGUAAUAGCAGCAUUUGGUCUUGCGUUAUUCUAACUGCCGUUUGCUGUUGGUGACCGUUCUUCUCUAGAGAAUGCAGUCUGAGUAGU
Pan troglodytes (chimpanzee) is the source of this 197-nucleotide small nucleolar RNA. It matches the Rfam family "Small nucleolar RNA U3". From Rfam's summary of the family: Small nucleolar RNAs (snoRNAs) are involved in the processing and modification of rRNA in the nucleolus. There are two main classes of snoRNAs: the box C/D class, and the box H/ACA class. U3 snoRNA is a member of the box C/D class. The record is from Rfam. NCBI's taxonomy places the organism in Eukaryota, Metazoa, Chordata, Mammalia, Primates, Hominidae.